CAGUACGUGAAGCCGCAUACAGGUAAACGGGUGGCGUCAAGCUGCUAUUCCAGAGGACUCAGCUGGCUAGGAUGUUGUGCAUGUGCCUAGUGCAUCAAACAGUCAGAGUAGGAUGUGAUAGUCCGCCUUUAAACGGUGGCCCUGGUCGCAAGGCUGGGUGAUGUGUACCGGGUGGAAGCCGGAGCAUGCUAUUCGUCUAUGGACUGUCUAGCCAGUGCAUUUUCUCUGGUAUACACCACGACCGGUGGAACUGCCAGUCUGCCAUAAUCAAGUCGUGCUGGGUGAGUCCAUGUGGCCAACUCAGUGCGAUCACGGACAAAUGCAGUAAACGGCGCAGAAGUGUUUCGGCAUUUCUGCGUGUUAUCGGCUACUGGUUGUCAACGGGUCGGCCUUUUGAUUGUUGUAACCGUCAAUUGGUGGCCUGGUGGGUUAUGGUGGUAAGAAAAACUGUGCAGGGCACCGGGUUAGACGGCCUCAAACGCACUCUGCAUGCACGUUGCAAGUGGCGUGAGGUGUCGCUGCUGCCUGCCCGAGGUUGGUUCUGAUUGUCGUGUCGCCUGCGCAAAGUGGGCCCGACAAUGGGCCGAUGCGGGAUGGGUUGUAAGCGGUAUCGCAUGUGCAGAGUGUAGAGGGCCUUAUAGUCAGUGGUGCUGUGGUAGACGAGCUACCCGACCCGUCUUGAAACACGGACCAAGGAGUUUAACAUGUAUGCGAGUCAAUGGGCCCUACGAAACCCAAAGGCGCAGUGAAAGUGAAGCUUCGAUUUAUUCUCGGAGUGAGGUGAGAUCCUGCCGUUACUCGCAUCAGCCUAAUGCCAGCAUCAGGCUAAGAGCGGUGGGCGCAUCACCGGCCCGUCCCAUGAUGUGGUUGUUGGAUGUCUGCAGUCUUUGUUUGC
This 895-nucleotide ribosomal RNA is filed under the name Phoreiobothrium sp. MS05-154-3. RNAcentral describes it as "eukaryotic LSU rRNA". It matches the Rfam family "Eukaryotic large subunit ribosomal RNA", at positions 393 to 785 of the family's 3401-position model. Lineage: Eukaryota; Metazoa; Platyhelminthes; Cestoda; Tetraphyllidea; Onchobothriidae. The record is from RNAcentral. RNAcentral also lists the same sequence under 1 other name.